RNAcentral lists this ribosomal RNA (1609 nucleotides) under Salmonella enterica subsp. enterica serovar Paratyphi B str. SARA61. RNAcentral's name for it is "bacterial LSU rRNA". It matches the Rfam family "Bacterial large subunit ribosomal RNA", at positions 1221 to 2812 of the family's 2925-position model. Lineage: Bacteria; Pseudomonadati; Pseudomonadota; Gammaproteobacteria; Enterobacterales; Enterobacteriaceae. The record is from RNAcentral. RNAcentral also lists the same sequence under 2 other names.
UUGUUGGGUAGGGGAGCGUUCUGUAAGCCUGCGAAGGUGGCCUGUGAGGGUUGCUGGAGGUAUCAGAAGUGCGAAUGCUGACAUAAGUAACGAUAAAGCGGGUGAAAAGCCCGCUCGCCGGAAGACCAAGGGUUCCUGUCCAACGUUAAUCGGGGCAGGGUGAGUCGACCCCUAAGGCGAGGCCGAAAGGCGUAGUCGAUGGGAAACGGGUUAAUAUUCCCGUACUUGGUGUUACUGCGAAGGGGGGACGGAGAAGGCUAUGUUGGCCGGGCGACGGUUGUCCCGGUUUAAGCGUGUAGGUGUGUGUUCCAGGUAAAUCCGGUUCACUUUAACACUGAGGCGUGACGACGAGGCACUACGGUGCUGAAGCAACAAAUGCCCUGCUUCCAGGAAAAGCCUCUAAGCAUCAGGUAACAUCAAAUCGUACCCCAAACCGACACAGGUGGUCAGGUAGAGAAUACCAAGGCGCUUGAGAGAACUCGGGUGAAGGAACUAGGCAAAAUGGUGCCGUAACUUCGGGAGAAGGCACGCUGACACGUAGGUGAAGUGAUUUACUCAUGGAGCUGAAGUCAGUCGAAGAUACCAGCUGGCUGCAACUGUUUAUUAAAAACACAGCACUGUGCAAACACGAAAGUGGACGUAUACGGUGUGACGCCUGCCCGGUGCCGGAAGGUUAAUUGAUGGGGUCAGCGCAAGCGAAGCUCCUGAUCGAAGCCCCGGUAAACGGCGGCCGUAACUAUAACGGUCCUAAGGUAGCGAAAUUCCUUGUCGGGUAAGUUCCGACCUGCACGAAUGGCGUAAUGAUGGCCAGGCUGUCUCCACCCGAGACUCAGUGAAAUUGAACUCGCUGUGAAGAUGCAGUGUACCCGCGGCAAGACGGAAAGACCCCGUGAACCUUUACUAUAGCUUGACACUGAACAUUGAGCCUUGAUGUGUAGGAUAGGUGGGAGGCUUUGAAGUGUGGACGCCAGUCUGCAUGGAGCCGACCUUGAAAUACCACCCUUUAAUGUUUGAUGUUCUAACGUGGACCCGUAAUCCGGGUUGCGGACAGUGUCUGGUGGGUAGUUUGACUGGGGCGGUCUCCUCCUAAAGAGUAACGGAGGAGCACGAAGGUUGGCUAAUCCUGGUCGGACAUCAGGAGGUUAGUGCAAUGGCAUAAGCCAGCUUGACUGCGAGCGUGACGGCGCGAGCAGGUGCGAAAGCAGGUCAUAGUGAUCCGGUGGUUCUGAAUGGAAGGGCCAUCGCUCAACGGAUAAAAGGUACUCCGGGGAUAACAGGCUGAUACCGCCCAAGAGUUCAUAUCGACGGCGGUGUUUGGCACCUCGAUGUCGGCUCAUCACAUCCUGGGGCUGAAGUAGGUCCCAAGGGUAUGGCUGUUCGCCAUUUAAAGUGGUACGCGAGCUGGGUUUAGAACGUCGUGAGACAGUUCGGUCCCUAUCUGCCGUGGGCGCUGGAGAACUGAGGGGGGCUGCUCCUAGUACGAGAGGACCGGAGUGGACGCAUCACUGGUGUUCGGGUUGUCAUGCCAAUGGCACUGCCCGGUAGCUAAAUGCGGAAGAGAUAAGUGCUGAAAGCAUCUAAGCACGAAACUUGCCCCGAGAUGAGUUCU